GAACAAGUCGACCUCCAUGGCUGCCAAGGCCGCCCCUCUUGGUUUACCAAAGUCCGGUGCAAUUUCCAAGGGCUACAAUUUUGCUUCUACCUGGGAACAGAAUGCUCCUCUAACGGAGCAACAGCAAGCGGCUAUUGCGACACUCUGUCAUGCCGUUGCUGAGCGACCAUUUCCUGUUGAUUUGGCACAAGACAGGAUAGGAGGUAAAGAAAAUGCCUUGUCUAUUU
RNAcentral lists this unclassified non-coding RNA (227 nucleotides) under Hevea brasiliensis (rubber tree). The record is from RNAcentral. Lineage: Eukaryota; Viridiplantae; Streptophyta; Magnoliopsida; Malpighiales; Euphorbiaceae.